Hibiscus syriacus is the source of this 263-nucleotide long non-coding RNA. RefSeq lists it as uncharacterized. The transcript has 3 exons. The record is from RefSeq and is a predicted model, not a curated record. NCBI's taxonomy places the organism in Eukaryota, Viridiplantae, Streptophyta, Magnoliopsida, Malvales, Malvaceae.
GUUAUCUGAACGACGCAGAAGCGACGGCAGCGACGAUUGAUUCAGAAGGAUGGUUAAAGACGGGUGAUCUUUGUUACGUCGAUGGUGAUGGUUACCUUUACAUUGUGGAUUGGUUGAAGGAGCUUAUCAAAUACAAGGGAUUUUAGGUUCCUCCUGCUGAGCUUGAGGCAUUGCUACUUUCUCACCCCCACAUUUCUGAUGCUGCUGUCGUGCCGAUUCCGGAUGAUGAGGUUGGGCAGUAUCCCAUGGCGUAUGUGGUUAGG